Molecule: ribosomal RNA, 253 nt
Filed under: uncultured bacterium
Lineage: Bacteria
Description: partial 16S ribosomal RNA
Rfam family: Bacterial small subunit ribosomal RNA
Source: RNAcentral
UACGUAGGGGGCAAGCGUUGUCCGGAUUUACUGGGCGUAAAGAGCGUGUAGGCGGCCAAACAUGUCCGUUGUGAAAACUGGAGGCUUAACCUCCAGACGUCGACGGAAACCGUGUGGCUAGAGUCCGGAAGAGGAGAGUGGAAUUCCUGGUGUAGCGGUGAAAUGCGCAGAUAUCAGGGAGAACACCAAUGGCGAAGGCAGCUCUCUGGGACGGUACUGACGCUGAGACGCGAAAGCGUGGGGAGCGAACAGG